CUGUCCCUUAUGCGACUUACAUGGCUGGAGAAGCAGAAGAAUAAGUGAACUGAGAGAAGAACUGGCCACAUAAAAUCCUGAACAAGCAAUUUUAUUGAAGAAACUAGACAAGACAGGAACUACUUUCUUUUCCAAAGAAAUUACUGGCAAAACUCCCACUGGCUUCUGGGGUGAAAUCAUACUCAUCCUUUUUGUCCUUAUUCCAAUGAAUAUUCCUGAUGCAGAGAAUUAAUGUAAGUAUUUGCAAUUCUGCUUCUGGCUGGAGCUGAAAAGGUGAUGCUGCAGUUAGUCUGGAGAGUUGUCUCUUAAGAUUUGUUUUUACUUAGA
RNAcentral lists this long non-coding RNA (327 nucleotides) under Cairina moschata (Muscovy duck). RNAcentral's name for it is "domestica (muscovy Duck (domestic type)) lncRNA (ENSCMMG00000013434.1)". Lineage: Eukaryota; Metazoa; Chordata; Aves; Anseriformes; Anatidae. The record is from RNAcentral.